UUUUGUUUUUGUUUUAUUUUUCCGCCGUUCGGACGUCUGUCGCGGAGACCCGUUAAAUUGUCGUUAGUUUUCAAAAAACGAAAUAAUACAUUGUUAUAAAAUAUUACAAGUUUAAAGUGCUUAUAAAUACUUGAAAAAAGGUGCUCAAAAUAUCAAAGAUUGAAAUAAAAAAAAACUCAAGUAAUUACAACGAAAGAAAAUGGCGGCUCAGCAAACAAUAAAGAGCAGUCGCGACAACAACAACAACAGCUAAGCAAGAAAUACAGCUCAAAAGAAACCAGCGAAGAAAAAACCGUCAACAUUUUCGUCUGCCUGAAAUAGGGAUGCAAAAACAUCGAUAUUCAGACGUUGGAGCAGACGACGAAGCAGCAGACGUUGGAGCAGACGUUGGAGCAGACGACGAAGCAGCAGACGUUGGAGCAGACGACGAAGCAGCAGACACGUGGUCUAAAACGCAAUACAGUGUUAAAAUUAUGAAAUAACAACUGCUGCGACUGGAACUUACUUGUUAUGUGCAGAAACCUGUCCAUUGUGCCGAGAGGAACCGCCCUAAUAUGUUUUACCUGUAUCAAACUGUAACAAUACUUAAUAAAAUGGAAAAAUGUGCACUUUUUCCCAAUUUACGUACCA
This is a non-coding RNA of Drosophila suzukii, 630 nucleotides long. The record is from RefSeq and is a predicted model, not a curated record. Lineage: Eukaryota; Metazoa; Arthropoda; Insecta; Diptera; Drosophilidae.